RNAcentral lists this ribosomal RNA (459 nucleotides) under uncultured bacterium. RNAcentral's name for it is "partial 16S ribosomal RNA". It matches the Rfam family "Bacterial small subunit ribosomal RNA", at positions 338 to 795 of the family's 1533-position model. The record is from RNAcentral.
CCUACGGGUGGCAGCAGUGAGGAAUAUUGGUCAAUGGUCGGGAGACUGAACCAGCCAAGCCGCGUGAGGGAGGAAGGUACAGAGUAUCGUAAACCUCUUUUGUCAGGGAACAAAGACUGGGACGCGUCCCCGGAUGAGUGUACCUGAAGACAAAGCAUCGGCUAACUCCGUGCCAGCAGCCGCGGUAAUACGGAGGAUGCGAGCGUUAUCCGGAUUUAUUGGGUUUAAAGGGUGCGCAGGCGGUCUGUUAAGUCAGCGGUCAAAGCCCCGGGCUCAACCCGGGCCGGCCGUUGAAACUGGGGAUCUUGAGUGGGCGAGAAGUAUGCGGAAUGCGUGGUGUAGCGGUGAAAUGCAUAGAUAUCACGCAGAACUCCGAUUGCGAAGGCAGCAUACCGGCGCCCGACUGACGCUGAGGCACGAAAGCGUGGGGAUCGAACAGGAUUAGAUACCCUGGUAGUC